AUUGAACGCUGGCGGCAUGCCUUACACAUGCAAGUCGAACGGCAGCACGGGAGCAAUCCUGGUGGCGAGUGGCGAACGGGUGAGUAAAGUAUCGGAACGUGCCCAGUCGUGGGGGAUAACGUAGCGAAAGUUACGCUAAUACCGCAUACGAUCUAUGGAUGAAAGCGGGGGAUCGCAAGACCUCGCGCGAUUGGAGCGGCCGAUAUCAGAUUAGGUAGUUGGUGGGGUAAAGGCUCACAAAGCCGACGAUCUGUAGCUGGUCUGAGAGGACGACCGGCCACACUGGGACUGAGACACGGCCCAGACUCCUACGGGAGGCAGCAGUGGGGAAUUUUGGACAAUGGGCGAAAGCCUGAUCCAGCCAUGCCGCGUGCAGGAUGAAGGCCUUCGGGUUGUAAACUGCUUUUGUACGGAACGAAAAGGUUUGGGCUAAUAAGCUGAGCUCAUGACGGUACCGUAAGAAUAAGCACCGGCUAACUACGUGCCAGCCGCCGCGGUAA
This 500-nucleotide ribosomal RNA is filed under the name uncultured bacterium. RNAcentral's name for it is "partial 16S ribosomal RNA". It matches the Rfam family "Bacterial small subunit ribosomal RNA", at positions 30 to 523 of the family's 1533-position model. The record is from RNAcentral.